UGCCCAGGCUGUCCUUGAACCUUCGAUCCUCCUGUCUCAGCUUCCUGAGUAGCUGGGAUUGCACGUGCACACCACUGAGCCUGACGAAUUUCCCCCAGGAUGAAACAGAAGAGACUAAGAAAAGGGGCUGAAUCUCAGCCAAGGACCAGGAAUAAGUGGUGGUGGUGUGAGAGCGUCAGCCACCGAGGAGGCGAAUGGAACAAUCCUUCUUCUCAGGGUCCCCAAAGGAAAACUGAGAUAACUCCCAAUGGCAAACUAGGCAAGCCCAGUUCGUGUGGAACCAGCCCUCCGGUGAAGACUCCUUCUCUUCUUGCCUUAGCGACACUUUGCUGGGAAGGCUCAGGACUCACUGGUUGGGCACCUCAUAAAGCAAGUUGUUGAACUCUCUGGGUUAGAAAAACUGAGGGGCAUAAUGUUCAACGAGGUAUGAAAAAGAAGGGGGUCCCAGUGGCUCAGGAGGCUGAGGCAGGAGGAUUGCAAGU
Marmota flaviventris (yellow-bellied marmot) is the source of this 482-nucleotide non-coding RNA. The record is from RefSeq and is a predicted model, not a curated record. Lineage: Eukaryota; Metazoa; Chordata; Mammalia; Rodentia; Sciuridae.